RNAcentral lists this ribosomal RNA (468 nucleotides) under uncultured bacterium. RNAcentral's name for it is "partial 16S ribosomal RNA". It matches the Rfam family "Bacterial small subunit ribosomal RNA", at positions 28 to 507 of the family's 1533-position model. The record is from RNAcentral.
GACGAACGCUGGCGGGGUGCUUAACACAUGCGAGUCGAACGGAAAGGCCCUGCUUUUGUGGGGUGCUCGAGUGGCGAACGGGUGAGUAACACGUGAGUAACCUGCCCUUGACUUUGGGAUAACUUCAGGAAACUGGGGCUAAUACCGGAUAGGAGCUCCUGCUGCAUGGUGGGGGUUGGAAAGUUUCGGCGGUUGGGGAUGGACUCGCGGCUUAUCAGCUUGUUGGUGGGGUAGUGGCUUACCAAGGCUUUGACGGGUAGCCGGCCUGAGAGGGUGACCGGCCACAUUGGGACUGAGAUACGGCCCAGACUCCUACGGGAGGCAGCAGUGGGGAAUAUUGCACAAUGGGCGGAAGCCUGAUGCAGCAACGCCGCGUGCGGGAUGACGGCCUUCGGGUUGUAAACCGCUUUCGCCUGUGACGAAGCGUGAGUGACGGUAAUGGGUAAAGAAGCACCGGCUAACUACGUG